Pecten maximus is the source of this 170-nucleotide long non-coding RNA. RefSeq lists it as uncharacterized. NCBI's taxonomy places the organism in Eukaryota, Metazoa, Mollusca, Bivalvia, Pectinida, Pectinidae. The transcript has 3 exons. The record is from RefSeq and is a predicted model, not a curated record.
AGAAAUAGGAAUCGUCCUAAUAUCAAUAGCAGCCGUGAUUAUCGUAUCCGUCCUGUUGAGUGGAGCUAUGCUGACACGCAGAUCUGGUCGAUUGUCCAGCAGACGGACUGCAACACAAUCAGCGAGACAGCAACAAUCACCCGUAGGCGAAUCACCCACAGAAACCAACG